GUCCUGAUAGCUCAGCUGGAUAGAGCGUAAGAUUCCUAAUCUUAAGGUCAUGGGUUCAAAUCCCUUUCGGGACACCA
This 77-nucleotide transfer RNA is filed under the name Helicobacter sp. RNAcentral describes it as "tRNA-Arg". It matches the Rfam family "tRNA". Rfam says of the family: Transfer RNA (tRNA) molecules are approximately 80 nucleotides in length. RNAcentral also lists the same sequence under 3 other names. Lineage: Bacteria; Pseudomonadati; Campylobacterota; Epsilonproteobacteria; Campylobacterales; Helicobacteraceae. The record is from RNAcentral.